Molecule: ribosomal RNA, 492 nt
Filed under: uncultured bacterium
Lineage: Bacteria
Description: partial 16S ribosomal RNA
Rfam family: Bacterial small subunit ribosomal RNA
Source: RNAcentral
AGUGAACGCUGGCGGUAGGCCUAACACAUGCAAGUCGAACGGCAGCACAGUAAGAGCUUGCUCUUACGGGUGGCGAGUGGCGGACGGGUGAGGAAUACAUCGGAAUCUACUUUUUCGUGGGGGUUCACGUAGGGAAACUUACUCUAAUACCGCAUACGCCCUACGGGUGAAAGCAGGGGAUCUUCGGACCUUGCGCGAUUGAAUGCGCCGAUGUCGGAUUAGCUAGUUGGCGGGGUAAAGGCCCACCAAGGCGGCGAUCCGUAGCUGGUCUGAGAGGAUGAUCAGCCACACUGGAAGUGAGACACGGUCCAGACUCCUACGGGAGGCAGCAGUGGGGAAUAUUGGACAAUGGGCGCAAGCAUGAUCCAGCCAUACCGAGUGGGUGAAGAAGGCGUUCGGGUUGUAAAGACCUUUUGUUGGGAAAGAAAAGCAGCAGGUUAAGACCCCGCUGUUCUGACGGUACCCAAAGAAUAAGCACCGGCUAACUUCGUG